UCCAAUUUCUCCCAGCAGUCGCAUCCUGCCUGCAGCUCCAUUGCUACCGUUAGCUGGGGCUAAUAAGGGAGUAGCAAGUCAUUUUUUACACAGGGAAUUUCCUUUUUAUGUACCUAGAUUAUGUCAUUUAACUAAGCAGUUUGUUUGGGAAAAUGAAUUUGACUUUUUUCCGCGGCACGGCGUCUUCUGGAAGAAAAAAUUAUCCCUGUAAAGUCAGUGUUUUUUCGCGGCAACCUCGGUAGCCGACCGGGUUUAGCAAGUCAAUUUUGGUAACAGAUUCAUCUGUCCGCCUCUGCUGCUGCUCUGUCGGGGGAUAUUUGGACAAAAUCAGUCAGAUGUUGGACGGUGAAAACAGCAUCGGAACUCUAACAUUUUUACGCCGGGUUGCGAAGUUGAAUUACCAAGGUGAACAUCUUUCGAGAAAGAGCCAGCAAUAAUUAUAAUAAGAGGAGGAGAGCGAGAGUUUGGAUCUCGCACCGAAGGAAAAGAACCCGGAGAGAAGAAGGGACGCUAGGGGAAGAAAAUCCUGAUGCCCAGUGAUGGCAAACGAGCCGAUUAUCCUAAAUGUCUAUGAUAUGUACUGGAUCAAUGAGUUCACCAGCUCUCUGGGCAUCGGAGUCUUUCACUCAGGGAUUGAGAUCUAUGGAAGAGAGUUUGCUUAUGGCGGACACCCGUACCCAUUCUCAGGGAUCUUUGAGAUUACACCAGGUGAUGCAACUGAGCUUGGCGAGACCUUUAAGUUCAAGUAAG
Molecule: non-coding RNA, 750 nt
Organism: Neolamprologus brichardi
Lineage: Eukaryota; Metazoa; Chordata; Actinopteri; Cichliformes; Cichlidae
Source: RefSeq, a predicted model, not a curated record